GAUGAACGCUAGCGGGAGGCCUAACACAUGCAAGCCGAGCGGUAUUUGUCUUUCGGGACAGAGAGAGCGGCGUACGGGUGCGGAACACGUGUGCAACCUGCCUUUAUCAGGGGGAUAGCCUUUCGAAAGGAAGAUUAAUACCCCAUAAUAUAAUGAGUGGCAUCACUUAUUAUUGAAAACUCCGGUGGAUAGAGAUGGGCACGCGCAAGAUUAGAUAGUUGGUAGGGUAACGGCCUACCAAGUCAGUGAUCUUUAGGGGGCCUGAGAGGGUGAUCCCCCACACUGGUACUGAGACACGGACCAGACUCCUACGGGAGGCAGCAGUGAGGAAUAUUGGACAAUGGGUUAGCGCCUGAUCCAGCCAUCCCGCGUGAAGGAUGACGGCCCUAUGGGUUGUAAACUUCUUUUGUAUAGGGAUAAACCUACUCUCGUGAGAGUAGCUGAAGGUACUAUACGAAUAAGCACCGGCUAACUCCGUGCCAGCAGCCGCGGUAAUACGGAGGGUGCAAGCGUUAUCCGGAUUUAUUGGGUUUAAAGGGUCCGUAGGCGGAUCUGUAAGUCAGUGGUGAAAUCUCAUAGCUUAACUAUGAAACUGCCAUUGAUACUGCAGGUCUUGAGUAAAGUAGAAGUGGCUGGAAUAAGUAGUGUAGCGGUGAAAUGCAUAGAUAUUACUUAGAACACCAAUUGCGAAGGCAGGUCACUAUGUUUUAACUGACGCUGAUGGACGAAAGCGUGGGGAGCGAACAGGAUUAGAUACCCUGGUAGUCCACGCCGUAAACGAUGCUAACUCGUUUUUGGGUUUUCGGAUUCAGAGACUAAGCGAAAGUGAUAAGUUAGCCACCUGGGGAGUACGUUCGCAAGAAUGAAACUCAAAGGAAUUGACGGGGGCCCGCACAAGCGGUGGAUUAUGUGGUUUAAUUCGAUGAUACGCGAGGAACCUUACCAAGGCUUAAAUGGGAAUUGACAGGUUUGGAAACAGACUUUUCUUCGGACAAUUUUCAAGGUGCUGCAUGGUUGUCGUCAGCUCGUGCCGUGAGGUGUUAGGUUAAGUCCUGCAAUGAGCGCAACCCCUGUCACUAGUUGCCAUCAUUCAGUUGGGGACUCUAGUGAGACUGCCUACGCAAGUAGAGAGGAAGGUGGGGAUGACGUCAAAUCAUCACGGCCCUUACGCCUUGGGCCACACACGUAAUACAAUGGCCGGUACAGAGGGCAGCUACCAGGUGACUGGAUGCGAAUCUCGAAAGCCGGUCUCAGUUCGGAUUGGAGUCUGCAACUCGACUCUGUGAAGCUGGAAUCGCUAGUAAUCGCGCAUCAGCCAUGGCGCGGUGAAUACGUUCCCGGGCCU
This 1345-nucleotide ribosomal RNA is filed under the name uncultured bacterium. RNAcentral describes it as "bacterial SSU rRNA". It matches the Rfam family "Bacterial small subunit ribosomal RNA", at positions 28 to 1381 of the family's 1533-position model. The record is from RNAcentral.